This 9735-nucleotide long non-coding RNA is filed under the name Marmota monax (woodchuck). Lineage: Eukaryota; Metazoa; Chordata; Mammalia; Rodentia; Sciuridae. The record is from RNAcentral.
CAGGCAUGUGCCACCAUGUCCAGCAUAAGGAAAUCUCUUAUUCCCAAUAAAAAUUUACACCAAAAUUGAAACCUGAUUGUAGGUGUUCUGACCAUGGAAAUAGACAGGGAAGUGUUCCCCUGGUGAGCAAACUCUGUGGGGUGGGGGUGGGGUAGCUGGCACCCUGAUUCCCACUAUUGGACAGCCCAGCCUCCUCCCUCUGAGGGAAUAAGACAGCUAUGUAGGCUCUAUCUGGUUUCCUUAGCAAUGUCCUUGAAGAGAAGGGCUCUGUGUUUGUAUUAACCUGGACCUUAUCUCAGCUAGCUAGCACUCAGGUUAAAGAAAUACUACUUUGAAUACAGUCAUGGUAAUGAAAGUAUGUGUUCUUAAACUCCCAGGCAGCGGGGAGUGGACACUUCACUUCUCCACCACUUCACCUCACUCCUCUCUGCUCCUCCUGUCUGUCUGCUUGCACUGUGUGUGUGUCUGUGUCCAUUCUUUUGUAUGCCUCCUGCACAGGCAUUCUUCUACAGGUGUUCCUUUACAGCCAGCGCUCAACAUUGGGGCACCAGACCCCACAUGUCCUCCCAGUCCACGGAGAGUUUGGGACAAGGAAGUCAGCCCAGACAGAGACCCUUCCAGACAUUCGGAGAGGUAAGGGGUCGGGGGAGUGGCUCAUGACGUGCAUCUUUACACCAGCUGGUUCAGAUCCCUAAUCAGUUGAGUCAUGGGGAAUUCUCUACUGCACAGUGGCAUGCCACGGAGCAGAACUUUCCUUUCUGUUCUGCAAGGCUGGACAUACUGUAAGUGAUAGUGAUCUGGCUGCCUUGCUAACCAAGAUAAGCUCUUGCUGUCCCUUUUACCCAGAAAGUGGAUGACUCAAUUUGAAAGACUAGGAGAAGUAGGUAAAAUAAUUCAUGAAAAGCCACAUAUUUGUAUACCCGUGUUGCAAACUUGGUGUCUUUGUAGGAAUGCAGUUGAUAAAACCUUAGAUUCUCAAACUUCAUGCUCUUCUUUUUCUGUGCCUGGCUGCACUGUCCCUUUAAGGGACCUGCCUGCAUCUCUCCAGACACUCCAGGACACUAGGUGAUUAACUGUCUUUGUCUUCAUGCCUGCCUGCCUGGAGCAGCUGCCUCACCUACAACUAAAUCCAAGUUAAGUAAGUGUUUGGGACAAGCUGAGGAGGAAGGGGGAUUUCAUGAUUUAGCUGUCUGUUGCACUGGGUUAAAUUUCGCUGGUCUGCCAGAGCAUAAGCACUUACCUUCUGCUCUAUUCAAUGAGUUGAAAUGUACCAUUUUAAAAAUUACAAAACCAUUUAAAUGGUAACUCAUAAAGCUGCCUUGCUUGCCACUGCCUUAAAACCCCCGACUCAGACCAAAAGGAGGAGGAACUAAUUUCUCUAAUCCCAUCAGGAUCCCAUGACACAAGUGUUUCCAAUAUACAGAGAGACCUCUCAACCUCAUUUUACAGACCCUUUCAUGCUACCAGAGGGAGAGCUGGAAUAGGUUUGAUUACUACUAAAGGCAUCCAAGUGAGGGCUCCCAGGGACUGGAACCAGAGUUCAGUUGAUGAAGUGUUUGCCUCUCAUGGACGAGAUCCCAGCUUCAAACCCAAGCAAUAUUAUUUAAAUGAAAGGAAAAAUAAAAGAUUAGACUCUUCUGUUACUGAACAUAACAACACGUUUGUCAAUUACUGAAAGUAGACUUAAGUUCACCUUGUUUAAUAAGCAUUCAUAUUUCUAGGCUUAUUGGACACAAAUACUAAUGUCAUGGUCAUAAGACAUGGUAUGUCUUUACACAUGGCCUCAAGAGGCCACCCCAGUUUGGGGAAAAUAAAAUAAAACAAACAAGUGUCCAUUCAUUCAUGGCCUUAAUGGGUCACCCUGGUUUGGGGAAAAGAAAACAAAAACAAACAAGGAUCCCAAACCUCCCUGUGGCUACCACCUCUUCCCCUUUCAAACCAUACAAACCAUUGCUUAUGUUCAACCAUGUGUGGAAACUGUUACAAGAUUUGCAAGGUUUAAGGCAAAAAGAAAGAAAGAAAGAAACAAACAAAAACUUUCCAGAAAGCAUAUAAACUGGAAAGAAAUACUCUUAAAAAAGAAAGAAGGGUUACAACAUUUUUCCUUACUUUUCAACUUCUGCUGGAUUCCUAACUUUCCUAGCCUCAUAUUUCAAUGUGAAUUUCAUUCCCUAUAUGAUUUACUAGAGUUGCAAAAAACUAGUUUAGACAAAAGAAGAAAGAAUGUCUCUUCUAAAUCCACACUGCUUGGCUGACUCUCUUAACUGUUUUUACCCAGUUUUCUUACACAGCUCCUCCCCUUCCUUAAUGUUGAAGCACUAAUAGAAAGGGAAAAGUAGAAAGACUCCAAAUGUGCAAGUUUUCUUUUUUUUCAAAAAAAAGUUUUGUUUUACAUUAUUUUCUUUCAGAAUGUGACAGGCUUCCAACUGAUUCUUGUCUGAGUUUAAGGUAUACUCUGACCCGAUAAAAAAUGUUGAUAUUACUGCAAUGUAAGUUUUUAAGUAUUCUAUGUAAGUUGAUGUGUUUUUCUGAUUAGUCUGUUUUUAUCUAACUAUACAGAUUUUUACAUUCUGCCUUUACACAAAGGCCAAUUUCCCCAGAGUUAACUCUUAAAUACAUUCAAAGAUUUCUUUUAAUAAAUCCUAGGAAGAUAUAAACAUGGUUGUGUUAGGGAUAAGUCUUAAUAACUAUAAAGGACAAAAACGCUAGCUAUAUGAAACCUUAGAUUUCAGUGUCCACCCUGGUUGUUGGAUCUUGUACCUGACAUUUCCAAUUUCACAGGCCUGUCUUAUGUCUAUAUAUUAUUAUUAAAUUGACAUUUAGACAAACGAAGGCUCAUAAAUUAAAAUUUAGAAAAAUAAAUGGACCCAGAUAACUUAAUUCAAAUCAAAUAAUUAAAUAAAUAUAUAGAUGUUUUUAAGGUGAUGGCUCAUGAGUGUUUAUAGGUGGCCAAAUAAUAAAGUCUUAAUUUCUAAAAAAUAUGUAAAAUAUAAUAUUCAUUACUUCUAAUUUUUUUCAACAGAGAAAGGAUGAUUAAUACUAUUAAUCAUGUUUUUCUUAUGUUUUUAUGUUAUAAUUAAAAUGAAUAAAUUAAAUUUAACAUAAAUGAGAUUAGCCUUCAUAUUAUGGUUUCUUAAAUAAAUAAAUUAAAAAUUAGAGCUGAUGCCAAGCUGAUCUCUCCUUUUGUUUCCAGUUGUUAAAAACAAACAAACAAAAACAGGAUGCCACCCCCUUCCUUUAUUUGACUCCUUCUUUAAAACAGGCUUUACAAAGAAUUCAUGAAAAGUUAUUGACAGUGAUGGAGGAUCAACUUCCUGUAUCUAAUGUGCUAUUAUCAUUGAUAGUUCUUGUUGGAAAGCCUUAUGCUUUUGAAGCAGUAGUUGCUAUUCUUAAUAAGAAAUGAUAUAUAACAAAAUGGCUAUAUUCUCCUCACUUUUCAGGCUGUAAUAUUUUGCCUUUUACUAAUAUGUAUGCUCAAUUAAUUGCUGAUGGUCAUAUUAAAAUUUUAUCUUUAACAAGCAUGGAUAUUCAUGUUUUGCACCUUAUGAAAAAAACUUUAUAUCUCUAAUACGUACCAUUCAUCCUAUUAUCAAGCUGUAUUAGCUAAAAUUUUAGUGCUCAUUGUGUUUCACCUGCCUCAUGAUGAACAAUUCUCUUUGUUAUAUCAGUUUCCUUAAUUAUAUCCAUUUUCCUUAAUUCCUACUGUUCCUCUUAUAGAUGAAAUAAUGGUGUAAACAAACAGGUAAACAAAGAGGAGUAAUAUCUGUUUUUAUUAAUGGUGAAUGGACUAUUAUACUCUACCUCAAAAUUCUCCACAGUGAGCUGAGUUAGCUACCUUUAUCCUGAUGCUGAAAUUGUUUUCUACUAUUUUAAAUGUUAUUACAAGUUCUCAAUAUAUAGUUAAGCUUGUGCUUCAUAUUUCCAUGGUUGGGUUAUGCCCUCAUUUGGAUUCCAAUUCACUGUCUCUUUUUUAAACCCUUUAAACUCUUUUAUAGCAUCAUGCAUCUCCUAUCUUCCUUGCUCAUAGAUAUAGCCACCCCAAGAUUUCUAAACUUUUGAUGGAGGUUGUCGCUCACACAGAUGAAGAUAUGAAAUCUGCUUAUCCUUUUUUUUUUUCAAAUGCUGUGAAAUCUCAUGGAUUUUUUCAUCAAAAUACUCGGUCACUACUGAAAACAUUUUCCAUAUCUUCUCAAAAGUUUCAUGCUAUAGUUAGCAAUUGUUCCCACUGUGUACACUUAUGAACCCUAUAUAAAAAUUUGUGAACCCAGGCCUACAUUUUAAUGCACAAUGGUAAAUGGAUGUUACUUAUUUCACUCCUUUUUUUCAUGUUUUUAUUACUACCCAUUCUGGAUUUAUUUAAGCUAGUGCCCACAGGUAUAAAAAUGUAUUUGCUUGCAUUUCUCACUUAUUGCUUUGCUUUCCACCAUGGGCAAGCCUGCUUAUUUAGAAAAUGGAUAAUGCCCCUGCGUAUACAUCUUGUGCUUUUGCACAAUUUUGUAAUCAAUGAAAUAUAAUUUUAAAUCAUAAAAUUCCUCAUAAUCCUACUGAACAAACUGGUUAAAUGAGUGCAUCAUACUCUUGAAACUUGCCUUUUAAAACUAAAACAAAAAAGGGGCAAUCUAGCCUCUCUCAUAUUAAUAAUGCUUUAAAUAUUGUUUUAUUUACAGUUAACGUGCUCAAUAUGGAAUGCAAAGUUGAUAUUCACAAUUGGUUGUCUGCUUUGGAUAGACAUUGUAUUCCUAAACAGCCAUUACUAAGAAUUUAUGUAAAAUAUAGGGUUCCACCAGACCCAGGAUGACAAGACCCUAUGCCUCUGACCACAUGGGGAAAAGGAUAGUCUGCUGUGCUCACACCAACAGAUCCUACUUGGACUCCAGCUUCAUGCAUGAGCUCUAUCCAUUGUGAAUGGACAUCGGGAACUUCACACCUUGAUUCCCAAGUUGCAUUUGAUCCUGGAUGAGGAGAGUCCCACCAAACAAGAGGAAACUCUCCUCAAAAGAGAGGAAGCAUUAAAGAAGGACAGAUAAGAGACAUGAAAAGAGGAUCCCAAGCUUCUAGACUUCCAGUGAGUUGGGGACAUAUAAAAUCAUUAACAGCCUCAGCUCUACAGCUGUUGGCUCAAAGGGGCUUAAAAUGUACUCUGGAAAACUUAGUUACUGCUUUGUUUGCUAAACUUACAUCAAACUCUGUAAAUGUUUUGAUCCUUGUGAUAAUGUUAUUCUGCUGUUGUACCCCACUUGUGCGAAACAUAGUUCUAAGUCAGACUCCUGGAGUUUUAGAACCCAUUAUAAUAUUUAGGUUCGCUUGGUGAAAAUUGUUAUAUACCUGCAAGAAUGUCGCAGCAGAUUAACUGUGUUCUCACCAUCCUUGCAGGAUUUAAUGGGCCACCAUCAUGCACAACGUAUUCAUAAAAGGUCUAUUCCCCUUGAUGAAAACUGUGAUGAUUCAGUACAUCGUCUCUCAAAGGCAGAAUUUGACGCUUUGACAUUUUCCAUAGUGGGUUUCCCUGGACUAGCUGUCGGGGCUUACAAAACCACUAUGAACCUGGCCUGUGCUGUGGUAAAAAAAGUACUAAUCCUACCUCUCUGGCCAUUAAUAUGCUUAAUGAAGAACAAAAACAACAUCGCCAAGACAUUCUUGAUAACCAGGCUGCUAUUGAUUAUUUGUUGUUGUUACAUCAUAAAGGAUGUGAGGAUAAAACACAUAAAGGAUGUGUUGCUUCAAUUUAAGCGAUAACAGUAAUUCUAUUUUAAGAGCAUUAAAUUACCUUAAAUAUAUCAUUAGAAGGUCCAGCAAGAUGAUGAAGGUUUAGACUUGUUAGAUUGGUUAACUUCAUGGUUACCCAAUUGCAUCUGGUUCAAACAAUUAUUCAUAGGUGGAAGUUUGCUGCUAUUGGGAUUGUUGUGUUGCACUUGCUGCUUGUCAAUGCCUGCCCUAUAUUUCCCCUUGCUAGGAUUAAGAAGAAAACAGGUAUUUUUCAUCCAGAAGGCCUUAAAAAACAAAGGAGAGCUGUAGGUAUUCAGACCAUGGAAAUAGACAGGAAAACAUUCUCCUGGUGAGCAAACUCCCGGGGAUAACUGGCAGGGUAACUGGUGCCCUGAUUCCCACAAUUGGAAUGCCCAGCCCCCUCCCUCUGAGGGAAUAAGACAACUAUGCAGGCACUAGCUGCUUUUCUUAGCAAUGUCCUUGGAGAGAAGGGGCUCUGUGUUUGUAUUAACCUGGACCUUAUCUCUAUUAGCUAGCACUCAGGUUAAAAAAAAAAUACUAAUUAGAAUACAGUCAUGGUAAUGGGCGGUAUGUGUUCUUUGAGUUAAUAAACUCCCAGGCAGCAGGGAGCGGACCCUUCAUUUCCAGACUUCUUCACCACUUCACUUCACUGCUCUCUGCUCCUCCUGUCUGUCUGCUUACACUUUGUGUAACACUCUUAUGUGCCGCCUCCACAGGUAUUUCUCCACAGGUGUUCCUUUACAGUUAAUUAAUCAAUAAGUUAGAAAAAGACAUCAGAUAAAAAGUUACAUUCUUACUAUUCAACAAAAUUUUACAUUUUUGGGGGGGACUGGGGUUGUGGCUCAGUGGUAGCACCCUCGCCUAGCAUGCAUGAGGCACUGGGUUCGAUCCUCAGCACCACAGAAAAACAAAAUAAUGUGUCCACCUAAAACUAAAGAUACAUAAAUAAAUAAAUGUUUAAAAAAUUUCUACAUUUUUAAAAUCGUCUUUCAAUUUGUUCAAGGUACUUUCCAUCACAUGUCCAGGAGAUAGUGCAAGGAGGGGUGGAGCACAACACCCAUCUCCUUGCAUGUCUUCACAAAUGGAGAUGCUUAACCCUCACCACUUCCCCACUUCCCCAGCCUGCCCAGUAAUUCUGAGGAUACAGCCAACUCCUUCCAAUUAUGAAAUCUUAGCAAGUUAACAUGUCAGCCAGGCAAGCCUGCUUCACAUUUUAUAGUUGGGGUUUCCAUCCUUUUUUUUUUUAACUUUAUAGGAAAUUUCCUUUCCCUAAACAUGAACGUAUGGUUCCUGGAGCACAAAGCUUGCUCAGGAGACCAACAAGAAUAUAUAAUCAGAGAGAAAAAGCUCUCUAUUUAUUCCAUAUUGUUGAUCAAGCCCAGCAAUAGAGAAAGAAAGAACAAUUUUUUUUUUCAGAGAUCUUUAUAGAAAAUGAUAUAGUAAGAAGAAAAUCUGGGGAAAAGUACAUAAAACUGCAUGAAGUUUGACUCUGUAUGAUGAAAUCUAACCAUCAAAGAUGGAACUAGCUGGGAAUUAGAGAUUAUUAAUCAUAUGUUCAAUAUCUUGGAGCUAGGACUGAUAUUUAUAAAUUUUGGAAUUACUCUCAGUGAAUAUAUUCCCUACACAAAAAGUUGAACUGAUGAAUAAAUACAUGGACAAAUGAAUAAGUGAAUAAUUUUUUUCAGGAGGAAUUCCAUGAGAAAUAUCUUACAUGUUGAACUGUUGUUUUCAUAACAUUAAAAUGGUUGUGCUAGAUAAUCUUUUAUCCUUUUGAAGGCCCCGAGAAAAUACAUUUUUUGCCUAUAUUUAGAUGGACAAAAGAAUGAAGAUCAAAAAAUGUUUCAAAAUCACUCACUUAACCAGCAGCAUGAAAACCGCUUUGAUUUCUGGUCACCGGUUGACAAAAACACAUGAAGAGUACAGGAGGGGUAUGGAUCCAAGUGCCACAGUUAAAAAUCAAGUUAGUAUAAAAGUUUAUAAGAAAAAGCAAAAUAUAGGAAUCAAUUUUAAGUAAUAACCAAUCUUAGAACAGAGAAGAAUGAAGAGGGAAGUAGAAAAAUAAUUUGCAACCAAAAGUAGAAAUCAGCUGAAUCACCUGAUGCCUGGUACAUUGGGCAGGAUGCUUUCAGUCACCAACAAGAGGACACCAUCAUAAUGAGCUGAAAAUACUAAGGGAAAUUUUAUUGGGUGACAUGACUGAGAAUUUCAGGGAUCAUUCAGGCUUUGGAUACUGUUUAAUCUAAACUCUUCUGUGAGUCUAUUGUCAUUACAUUCUUGACUAUUUGAUUAAUACAUAGACUUGCUGUUCCGGAGUUGAAAAAAUAAUUUGAGCUGGUUUAAGCUUUAUAUCCUACAUGAUAACAUUCAGAAAAAAAGAGAGUAUCACUUUCCCCUUACUAACAUCACAGAUUUAGGCUCCUUAUAAACCGAGCCAGCUUAGGACAGGUACAUACCCAGACUCAUUUAUCUAACAAAGGUAAGUGGAAACUAUAGAAUGACUACCUUGAAUGAUACGUUGCCUGUACAUUCUUUAGCUUAUCACUUUCUCAAGGAUGAGUUCUCAAGAUUGUCUUAGGCUGAUCACUGCAGUUGAGAGUGGAGUUAAUCGACCCCAUGGCUGCCAUGCAAAUGUGGUAAAAAGAAUGGGAAGCUAGACAGACUGGAGCCAGUCAUGUCUGUUCCAAGUAGAAAGUCUGAAGUGUCCCAAUGUUUGAUUGCCCCCUUCUCCUGCUUUUCAUGUUUGCCUUUUCUCUCAUGACAACUUCACUUCCCAAAAGUUUAACUAUAUUUUGGAUCUACUCUCAGUGCAUAUGUUUGCUAUGCAAAUAGUAAAAAAUUGAAUUGUGAUGAAUGAAUGGAUGGAUGGAUUAAUUUUUCAGGAGAAAAAAGACAUAGGAAAAUAUCUUACAUGGCCUGGUCUCUCUGGAUAUUCCCCUUGCCCUGGGUCCCCUCUUCUCAGUUCCCUAAGCAACACGAGGCUAAGUCCCUUUUUCCAAGUUGAGCUCAAGUAAGUUGCUCAAUGAGAAACCUAAGAAAGGCCAAAAAAUAAUAAAGAGCAGAAUUCAAUUUUUUAAAGAAUAUUUUCAAGCUCAUACUUUUUUGUGUGUGUGUGUGUGUGUGUGUGUGUGUGUGUGUGGUGCUGGAGAAUGAACCCAGGGCCUUGUCCAUGAGAGGCAAGCACUCUACCAACUGAGCUACUGAGCUAUAUACCCAGGCCCAGUGAUGAUCUUUUUUUUUCUCCAUUAUUUUAUACUCAAUAUGCACCUGCUGCAUAAUAAGUAUAUAGUAGGUGCCUAGGAGCUGUUGAAUCCAUUUAGGAAUUUUAAAGAAAUUGAAGUUAAUCAUGGAUAUCUUGACUCACACUGUCAUUAAGUCCACCUUCAUAAUCAAGAUUUCUGUAUUUGCUAACUUGUCUAUUUAUUGAUCUUCACUUGUAACCCCAAAUCAAUACUCAGUUUUUUAUGGAUCUGUGCACUGUGGUGCGACACUUGAGUCACAUGAAGGUCAUGCUCCUUGGGCCCGAGAGUUGGGAAGUGGCCUACGUUGCCUAUGUGAGAGGCUCUCAGGGUUCAGCACACUGAAUCUGGAAGUUGUGGUGAGCACACUAACCACACUCAGCCCCAUCUCCAUGGUAACCUGGCCUCUCUCAGGUGCACAGCAUGUUCUUUGCCUUCUGCUUUUCUGCCACUGACCUACUAAUGCAUUGGUUACUGCUUGUAAGUAUGUUUCUGGCUCUUUGGAUCAUUAUGACCCUCAGAUAAAUCUGUCCAGUGACAGGCUAUGCUUAAAAGCUUGCCUAUGAAAUAAUAAAGUGGAUUGAGCUCUCGAAAACUAGUCUCCAGAGGUCUCUUUUCGAUUCCGUUGCCACACCAUCCUCAGCUGUUCCGAGGGCUUCUGCAGGACCGAGCGAGCCCCUACACACUCCCUAGAAAAGUCACAGGAGGUGAUGUUCUGCCUCUGGUUUCACUCCUCACUACAGGACAAGCAUCUUUCUGUGGUCUAUUCAGC